GAUGAACGCUGGCGGCGUGCCUAAUACAUGCAAGUAGAACGCUGAAGGAAGGAGCUUGCUCUUUCCGGAUGAGUUGCGAACGGGUGAGUAACGCGUAGGUAACCUGCCUGGUAGCGGGGGAUAACUAUUGGAAACGAUAGCUAAUACCGCAUAACAGUAGAUGUUGCAUGAUAUCUACUUAAAAGGUGCAAUUGCACCACUACCAGAUGGACCUGCGUUGUAUUAGCUAGUUGGUGAGGUAACGGCUCACCAAGGCGACGAUACAUAGCCGACCUGAGAGGGUGUCCGCCACACUGGGACUGAGACACGGCCCAGACUCCUACGGGAGGCAGCAGUAGGGAAUCUUCGGCAAUGGACGGAAGUCUGACCGAGCAACGCCGCGUGAGUGAAGAAGGGUUUCGGAUCGUAAAGCUCUGUUGUAAGAGAAGAACGAGUGUGAGAGUGGAAAGUUCACACUGUGACGGUAUCUUACCAGAAAGGGACGGCUAACUACGUG
Molecule: ribosomal RNA, 496 nt
Filed under: uncultured bacterium
Lineage: Bacteria
Description: partial 16S ribosomal RNA
Rfam family: Bacterial small subunit ribosomal RNA
Source: RNAcentral